Molecule: ribosomal RNA, 240 nt
Filed under: uncultured Lactobacillus sp.
Lineage: Bacteria; Bacillati; Bacillota; Bacilli; Lactobacillales; Lactobacillaceae
Description: partial 16S ribosomal RNA
Rfam family: Bacterial small subunit ribosomal RNA
Source: RNAcentral
AACCUGCCCAAGAGAUCGGGAUAACACCUGGAAACAGAUGCUAAUACCGGAUAACAACAGAUGAUGCCUAUCAACUGUUUAAAAGAUGGUUCUGCUAUCACUCUUGGAUGGACCUGCGGUGCAUUAGCUAGUUUGGUAGGGUAACGGCCUACCAAGGCGAUGAUGCAUAGCCGAGUUGAGAGACUGAUCGGCCACAUUGGGACUGAGACACGGCCCAAACUCCUACGGGAGGCAGCAGGU